UAUACUUCCAGAGACAAACAAAUGUUUAC
This 29-nucleotide non-coding RNA is filed under the name Bombyx mori (domestic silkworm). The record is from RNAcentral. Lineage: Eukaryota; Metazoa; Arthropoda; Insecta; Lepidoptera; Bombycidae.